This 356-nucleotide ribosomal RNA is filed under the name Antheraea pernyi (Chinese oak silkmoth). Its description in RNAcentral is "SSU rRNA". It matches the Rfam family "Eukaryotic small subunit ribosomal RNA", at positions 451 to 770 of the family's 1831-position model. The record is from RNAcentral. Lineage: Eukaryota; Metazoa; Arthropoda; Insecta; Lepidoptera; Saturniidae.
CCGGCACGGAGGUAGUGACGAAAAAUAACGAUACGGGACUCUAACGAGGCCUCGUAAUCGGAAUGAGUACACUUUAAAUAUUUUAACGAGGAACAAUUGGAGGGCAAGUCUGGUGCCAGCAGCCGCGGUAAUUCCAGCUCCAAUAGCGUAUACUAAAAUUGUUGCGGUUAAAAAGCUCGUAGUUGCAUUUGUGCGCCGCGCUGUCGGUGCACCGCAUUAGCGGUGAUACUGACACGUCUGCGGAGCAUAUCGUCGGUGAGCCGUCGGUAAAACGACGGUUCAAUAUCAAAAUCCUAUCGCGGUGCUCUUCGGUGAGUGUCGAGGUGGGCCGACAAUUUUACUUUGAACAAAUUAGA